AAAAAAAAAAAGGGGCCGGGCGCGGUGGCUCACGCUUGUAAUCCCAGCACUUUGGGAGGCCGAGGCGGGCGGAUCACGAGGUCAGGAGAUCGAGACCACGGUGAAACCCCGUCUCUACUAAAAAUACAAAAAAUUAGCCGGGCGCGGUGGCGGGCGCCUGUAGUCCCAGCUACUCGGAGAGGCUGAGGCAGGAGAAUGGCGUGAACCCGGGAGGCGGAGCUUGCAGUGAGCCGAGAUCGCGCCACUGCACUCUAGCCUGGGCGACAGAGCGAGACUCCGUCUCAAAAAAAAAAAAAAAAAAAAAAAAAAAAAAAAAAAGGAAAUCCUGUCACAUGCUGCCACAUGGAUGAACCCUGAAGACCUUAUGCUUAGAGAAAAAGCCAGGCACAAAGGACAAAAGCCAUAUGAUUCUACUCACAGGAGGAGCUCCCUAGAGAAGUCAAACCCACAGACACGGACGUGGAGUUUUCGUCGGCAAGAUGAAAGCGGUCCAGCGCUCUGCUGCCCACCCUCGUGCACGUAGUAAACACCGCUGCCCUGUGCACUUACACAGGUUACAGAGGGGCAAUUCUGUGACGUGUUUUCCACCAGAAUGUUUAAAAGGAAAAGAUAAGAAACACUAGCUGGCCAAGGGCCCUUCUGGUACAAUUCCUCUCCGCCUGCUGAUGGGGGAAGAUAAGGACAACUGGUCCCUGGAGCUGAGGCCUGGCAUGCGUGGGGCAGGGGCUCCCGAUGAGGAGAUGGGGGAAGACAGGGGAAGGCCCCCCCAGACCCCUGGGGAGCCCAGCUGCAGGACAGGGUGUCAGCAGGUGGCUGCAGGAGUUGAUCUGUGUCCACUUUAAGUGCAGAACUGGCGAUCAAGCCGGGCCCCCCGCUUGCAGUUGUGAAGUGGGCCCUCUCUUCAUCAGCUCUGCUCUCCUGCCUCCGGCCGUGGGCCCUGUGAGGGAUUCCCGGGCCACCUGGGGGGCCCACCUGUGCCCUGUCUCCUCUCUAUGCCCCAGGGCCACUGCUGCAGAGCAGUGCUGGGUUUAGCUGGUGGGACCCGGGGACAUGGCUAACGCUUCCCAGAAAGGCGACCCUUGGGCAUGUGGGGGGUGUGGUAUGAGAUGUGUGUGUGGUGUGUGAGGUCUGUGUAUGUCUGUGUGUGGCGUGUGAGGUCUGUGUAUGUGAAUGUGGGGUCUGUGUGUGUGGUAUAUGUGUGUGAUUGUUGUGUGAGGUCUGUCUGUGUGUGGUGUGUGAGGUCUGUGUGUGGUGUGUGUGAGGUCUGUGUGUGUGGUGUGUGUGUGAGGUCUGUGUGUGGUGUGUGUGUGAGGUCUGUGUGUGUGGCAUGUGCAGUGUGAGUGUGUGUAUGUCUGUGCGGUGGCGUCUGUGUGUAUGUGGUGU
Molecule: long non-coding RNA, 1383 nt
Organism: Symphalangus syndactylus (siamang)
Lineage: Eukaryota; Metazoa; Chordata; Mammalia; Primates; Hylobatidae
Source: RefSeq, a predicted model, not a curated record